UACGAAGGGGGCUAGCGUUGUUCGGAAUCACUGGGCGUAAAGCGCACGUAGGCGGAUUUUUAAGUCAGGGGUGAAAUCCCGAGGCUCAACCUCGGAACUGCCUUUGAUACUGGAGAUCUUGAGUCCGGAAGAGGUAAGUGGAACUGCGAGUGUAGAGGUGAAAUUCGUAGAUAUUCGCAAGAACACCAGUGGCGAAGGCGGCUUACUGGUCCGGAACUGACGCUGAGGUGCGAAAGCGUGGGGAGCAAACAGG
This 253-nucleotide ribosomal RNA is filed under the name uncultured bacterium. RNAcentral describes it as "partial 16S ribosomal RNA". It matches the Rfam family "Bacterial small subunit ribosomal RNA", at positions 524 to 776 of the family's 1533-position model. The record is from RNAcentral.